AGGAAGGCUCGUCCGCUCUGGGUUAGUCGGGUCCUAAGCUGAGGCCGACAGGCGUAGGCGAUGGAUAACAGGUUGAUAUUCCUGUACCACCUAUAAUCGUUUUAAUCGAUGGGGGGACGCAGUAGGAUAGGCGAAGCGUGCGAUUGGAUUGCACGUCUAAGCAGUAAGGCUGAGUAUUAGGCAAAUCCGGUACUCGUUAAGGCUGAGCUGUGAUGGGGAGAAGACAUUGUGUCUUCGAGUCGUUGAUUUCACACUGCCGAGAAAAGCCUCUAGAUAGAAAAUAGGUGCCCGUACCGCAAACCGACACAGGUAGUCAAGAUGAGAAUUCUAAGGUGAGCGAGCGAACUCUCGUUAAGGAACUCGGCAAAAUGACCCCGUAACUUCGGGAGAAGGGGUGCUCUUUAGGGUUAACGCCCAGAAGAGCCGCAGUGAAUAGGCCCAAGCGACUGUUUAUCAAAAACACAGGUCUCUGCUAAACCGUAAGGUGAUGUAUAG
RNAcentral lists this ribosomal RNA (495 nucleotides) under Staphylococcus aureus. RNAcentral's name for it is "partial 23S ribosomal RNA". It matches the Rfam family "Bacterial large subunit ribosomal RNA", at positions 1358 to 1848 of the family's 2925-position model. The record is from RNAcentral. Lineage: Bacteria; Bacillati; Bacillota; Bacilli; Caryophanales; Staphylococcaceae.